Molecule: RNA transcript, 1318 nt
Organism: Dermacentor silvarum
Lineage: Eukaryota; Metazoa; Arthropoda; Arachnida; Ixodida; Ixodidae
Gene name: tenascin-R-like
Exons: 6
Source: RefSeq, a predicted model, not a curated record
UCUUCAUGAACAGACUGAUUGAGACAUUUUGCAGUAAACUUACUUCAAGUUCAAAGUUAACACGAAUACACGUACUGAGUUUUAGCGGUAAUUGGUCUCAUGCUAAGCGAUUCACAUGUGAAUGCCUAACAUAACGUGUCAACGGCACAUUUGACUAGGAUUAGUUGUGUCCGUGCCCACUUGAUUAACGUCCUACGUGCGUAACUUUUCAGAUUUUGUAGACGCCCCUAACUUAUAUUUUAGAAAUUAGCAUGCCACACUGAGCUACACCUAUCGCCUUCACUUCCUUGAGAAAACAUUAGCUUGCGCUUCCAGCUUUCUGAGCGUUAUCAACUUUGUGGGGAUUUUCACUUGUCACUGUGCGCGAACACUCACAAAAAAAUCUAAAAUUUCGCCUGGUUGGUAUAAGAUGAAAAUAGCGUUUUUUCUUUUGCAAAUGGCUCUGUUUUGAAAAAUACGACCGAAUUUACAAAUUAUUUACGAAUCACCUUUUUAGGCAACAAGCUCUCUUAACAGUUAAUGCGUCGAUAUUAUGAAGAAAUGAAAGACAGGGCUCUGCAGCUCGUGCUGCUGCUUGAGCACUUUGUAUUUUUUUUUUCAGCGUCAUUCCUUUGUUCCUUCACUAAAGAGAGACCUUGCCAGGAGAAAACCAGAAGUGUAGUAAGUUUUCGAGGAGCAGGGUGAGAGCCAACUCGGCAAAUAGCGUCGUUCUCUUCAAAUAUACCAGCAAUUAUGGCAGAAGGAAGCGAUCUGGCACUGAAGGUCACAAACAAUAAAGCUAAAAGCUGCCAGGAAGACCGCCCAAAUGGAAUUGAACAUCACAUCAUGCAGAGAUUUCGAAUGCAAAGCAACCUGCGAGGCCCAGUUGAACCAGGAAUUUGUGGAUGUUAUAGGGCACUGCGAAGGGGCCUCAUGCAAAUGCAACUACAAAGAAGCAUGCAUUACGCGGAAAUGCCAAAGACUUUGUCGCCAAGAAGCAGACAGGAGGCGUGUGCCGAACGCAAAUGGCGAAUGCCAACGAACGAACUGUAUUUGCACUCUCGAAGAUGAUUGCGAUAAAGAUAAGUGUAGAAAAAUCUGCACCGCUAAAUACCCGGGAAGACCAAGCUCCGCCAGGGGAAUAUGCAUCGAUGGAGAGUGCACCUGCAGGCAUUUGUAAUAAACCAAGCACAUGCACGAAGUUUCUCGAGAAGGUGCACGGGUGCUCUGAUACUGCCAUGGUGGUGGUUCUGCGAGCAACAACAACACUAGCGUAAAUAUUCAAAAUAAAGAAUAUUCGCUUCAUUGCAUCAUGUGGGCGCUGACGGAACGCUAAUAC